Gossypium raimondii (Peruvian cotton) is the source of this 916-nucleotide long non-coding RNA. RefSeq lists it as uncharacterized. Lineage: Eukaryota; Viridiplantae; Streptophyta; Magnoliopsida; Malvales; Malvaceae. The transcript has 3 exons. The record is from RefSeq and is a predicted model, not a curated record.
CUUACUAUAGUUCGCUUAAGUUUCAUAAUAUGGUAAGUUUGAUAAGUUGUUUAGGAGAGAAUAACAAGUAAUUUUUUGGUUUUGAAAGAAAUUUCAUGAAAGCCUAUCUCGAAUAUUUUUCCUUUUCCUGAAUGCCUGCUCUGUGUUCUUGUAUGUAAUGUUUAGUUUACUUUAUACUUCCAAAACACUGAAUGCUUCUAUUUGGUGUCGACAGAGGUUAUUGUUAGGUGGUUCCAUAAAUCAGGUAGUGUUAACACAGUAAUUUUCUUAUUUUGUUGCAUAUCCCUGGUAAAUGUACUUGCUGUAUGGUGCACUUUGUAGAUUAAUUCAUUGGCUGCCAUUGCUAGUUAGAAGAAACUGAUAAUACUGAAUGGUCUUUAAUUAAUUAUUUUGACUUUGGAUUGUGUAACAUAUCUCCACUACUUUCUGGUCAUAUCUCUUUUGCAGAGAAAAAACUUACCUUCUGUUCGCCAGUAUUUGGAAACAUUUGCAAUUAAUAUUUACAUGGAGUUUUCCUCUUUGGUAAUGCACCGUCUUAAAUUUAUUUAGUAAAUAAUAAAGCUUAACAUUCAUGCAUGAGAUGUGUGCAGAAACACACAUAUUCCAACAGUUCAAUCUCCACGACUGGUAUCAAUCAUUCAAAUCAAUAGUUCUCUGCCCAAAUAGUAAAAGGAAACCAAGGCAGUCCCCAUUACCAAAGAAAAGAAAAGGCAUAAAAGAAGCAGAAAGCCAGAGUGAAGCUUCUCUACAGUAUCCUUUGCUGUACCAUUCUUCUAUAUUUAUUUUCAGUUUAUUCAUGGUGUUCCUGUUGGACCUGUAAGUGAUCAGUUCGGAGGGUUGAUUUUUAACUUUAUCUAUGUGAAGCAUAUGCAUCCCAAGUUAAUAAUUGAGAAGAGUUCAGAUCUGAGUGCGGCAG